UCCCGGCGGAGCCGGAGAUUAAACCGGACCCGAGCCCGCCCCCAACGCGGAGACUCCCAAUCUCCUCUCCGCCGGGGCACGGGAGGAGCGCUGGGGAGCGGGUGGAGCGACCGCCCUGCAUCGACCGACCCCCGCCCCGCCCCGGCCGGCCCCGCCCCCCCCCCCCCCCCCCCCCCCCCCCCCCCCCCCCCCCCCCCCCCCCCCCCCCCCCCCCCCCCCCCCCCCCCCCCCCCCCCCCCCCCCCCCCCCCCCCCCCGACCCCCGCCCCGCCCCGGCCGGCCCCGCCCCGCCGGGACCCCAGCUCCUCGGGCACGGCCGUCAGAGGGGCAGCGCCGCCCCGCCGGGCAUCCGUGUGUCACUGGGCAUCACCUGCCGCCAGCGAAUCGCCCCCGGCCAGGCAUCAUCCCCCGCCGGGCAUCAGUGUCCCGGCAGCGCUGCCCUACCUGGAAUAGCCUCGGGCAGCCUGGGAUGGAAACGGCUUUGCCAGCCAGCAAUGAGCGUCGCCAUCGGGAGAAGAGGCACCCUAUCGCCUGGACAUCGAGAGAUGUUAAAUAUUCAGUGGCAGCUCUGCCCUCACGCUCCCGGCAAUCCCACGGCUCCUGUUACUGCCGCUCUCCUUUGGCUGGAGACCCAUCCAUUAACUAAUUUCUAAUAACAGCAGCGUGCGUGAGCACAGGACAUGGACUCCACCAUGAAGCUUUGCAGAAAAUCAAAGCCGUGAGGAGAGAAGGAAAAGAGAGUGAAGAUGUCCCCAAAACCUCCCAAAGCCUGUCCCAGAGUCCCUCAGCUGGCACACAGUAGCUGCAGGCUCCUGCAGCCAGGCUGGCAACACAGACAUGAGCCAUGAGAGGUGUAGGCUAAGACCCUGCUCUCAGCUCCCUGAGCCCUCUGGUCAACAGUGCUUCCCCAGUGCAGCUCUGGCCAGUCUCAUCAAUGGCUCUGGUGGUGUCAGGGCUCUAGUGGAUUGCAAAAUUGCAGUCGUGUGGUUUUCUCCAGCUGGCUGGAAAGUUUGACGCCGGAUUCCCGUAUGUGAGGAGCCUUCAGGGGAGCACGGCACAGCAUGGCUCAUCUCUCCAGCAGCAUCCUGCCUCACCAAUGGCAGGGAGCUGAGUGCUGGGCCAGAGCCCUUGCCCUCAGCACACCUCUGUGGGGUUGGCCUUCUCACCAUUUCCCCCAGCCUAAAGCUGCCCUAUUUCUUAUCCUACAGCCAUGCUUCAAGAUCAAAGAUUAAAGUGAAACCUCUUGGCCUCAGAAGCGCAGACAAGGCCAUAAAACUCCUCAGCCUCCAGUGUGGCAGCACGGACAAGGCCAGCCCAGGACCCAGGCACAAAGCACUGGGUGCUAUGUAUGGCCAGGACACGCUCUCCUUGUCACGCUCGGCUUCCUGAGCCCGCUGCCUGCUGCCUGCCACUGCCCGCUGUUCCCAGAGCCCAGAUGGCAGGAAGAUAGGGCAGAGAUAAUGGUGAGAUUUGCAGCCCGAGCAGUGUUCCCCCUGCCACCACCGUGACUUCUCAAGCAAGAAGGCUGUUCCCAGAGCCCAGAUGGC
This 1546-nucleotide long non-coding RNA is filed under the name Ficedula albicollis (Collared flycatcher). Its description in RNAcentral is "lncRNA (ENSFALG00000023821.1)". Lineage: Eukaryota; Metazoa; Chordata; Aves; Passeriformes; Muscicapidae. The record is from RNAcentral.